CCCCGGGCUUAACCUGGGAACUGCGUUNUGAACUGGGUGGCUAGAGUAUGUCAGAGGGGGGUAGAAUUUCCNCGUGUAGCAGUGAAAUGCGUAGAGAUGUGGAGGAAUACCGAUGGCGAAGGCUGCCCCNUGGGAUAAUACUGACGUUCAUGCUCGAAAGCGUGGGUAGCAAACAGGAUUAGAUACCCUGGUAGUCCACGCCCUAAACGAUGUCGAUUAGCUGUUGGGCAACUUGAUUGCUUAGUAGCGUAGCUAACGCGUGAAAUCGACCGCCUGGGGAGUACGGUCGCAAGAUUAAAACUCAAAGGAAUUGACGGGGACCCGCACAAGCGGUGGAUGAUGUGGAUUAAUUCGAUGCAACGCGAAGAACCUUACCUGGUCUUGACAUGUACGGAACCUUUCAGAGACGGAAGGGUGCCUUCGGGAGCCGUAACACAGGUGCUGCAUGGCUGUCGUCAGCUCGUGUCGUGAGAUGUUGGGUUAAGUCCCGCAACGAGCGCAACCCUUGUCAUUAGUUGCCAUCAUUUAGUAGGGCACUCUAAUGAGACUGCCGGUGACAAACCGGAGGAAGGUGGGGAUGACGUCAAGUCCUCAUGGCCCUUAUGACCAGGGCUUCACACGUCAUACAAUGGUCGGUACAGAGGGUAGCCAAGCCGCGAGGUGGAGCCAAUCCCAGAAAACCGAUCGUAGUCCGGAUUGCACUCUGCAACUCGAGUGCAUGAAGUCGGAAUCGCUAGUAAUCGCAGGUCAGCAUACUGCGGUGAAUACGUUCCCGGGUCUUGUACACACCGCCCGUCACACCAUGGGAGUGGGGGAUACCAGAAGCAGGUAGGGU
This 835-nucleotide ribosomal RNA is filed under the name uncultured bacterium. Its description in RNAcentral is "bacterial SSU rRNA". It matches the Rfam family "Bacterial small subunit ribosomal RNA", at positions 601 to 1436 of the family's 1533-position model. The record is from RNAcentral.